GCAAAACUAGAAAUUCUAGUAUGGAGUUUCAAUAAACAAAAAUAUAAGCAGCACCAGCACCCCUGCCCUUCUUCCCCUGUAUCUUCUUCAUGUAGAAUUCCAGCUCUUUCUCCAAGAUGUAUAUGUCGGAAAUGAAAAAGCCCAUCAAUGCAAGAAAAAAGAAAGCAAAUAUUACCAUUAUAGUGUCUUGUUCUCCUGUAUCUAUCCAAUAACUACCAUGGAAAUAAACAAAAAUAAGGAACAACUUUGAUGGUCUCCAAAGCAAAUCUUAAGGUGUUUAAUGUCAUAAAAAAAAAGACUUCUAGCAAUUGUCCAAUACCCAUUACGAGGCAAGGGAAAGGAACGGAUAUAUAUAUCCAGCUUCAACAACAUAAAAGUCCAGGCAUGAUGAUGUAUGUUGAAUACUUCCAUUUUUGGGGCCUUCAACAAAUCUUGAAAACUAAAAAGCAAUCAAAGGGGUCACAUACCCAUCAGCACGUCCACAGUGGCUAGGCGGAGAUGAGACACAAGCUAACAAACGACCACUACCAAACUGCUCCUCAAUAUGUGGGUCAAGCGUGCGAUCUUUUUUACGCUUCUCAAGC
This 584-nucleotide long non-coding RNA is filed under the name Citrus maxima (pomelo). RNAcentral's name for it is "long non-coding RNA (CMAX_LNC002822)". The record is from RNAcentral. Lineage: Eukaryota; Viridiplantae; Streptophyta; Magnoliopsida; Sapindales; Rutaceae.